CCGUAGUCCUGGCGACUGUUACCCAUCAACAACAACUACUCCUCUCCUCCUCCUCCUCCUCUUCCUCCUCCUCCUCCCCACCACCACCAUCUCCAUCACCCACCAACAACACCACAAUAAUCCACAGCCAAGUCCCAGCACAGUUGAAGAAUAUAGCACAGUUGCAUCAGUAAUGAUGGCUCACUCAUCUGGGAGCAUCUCUCUGGGUGAGAAUAAGUAAUAUUUUAAAAGUCCUCCAAGUAAUUCUGAUAUGGCAUACUUCCUUUCCAUUAUAAGUAACAAAUUUAAGUCAUAGAUUCCUAGAAUUUUGUGAUUAGUGUUAUUAGGAGAUUAUAAUGAUUAAAAUGGAAUCUACUCUUGUGAGAUUAUUUUGUUUCUUGAACAAGUUAUAGUGAACUUUAUGUAUAACCUUACCAGAGUCUUGAAUAUUAUAAGGUACCAGAGUCUUGAAUAUUGUAAAGCACAGUAGUAUUAACUCUGUGCCCAUUGUUGUGUCAAACAGACCUCUAGAAUUUUCUCAGCUUGCAAAACAAACGUUACAUCCAUGAAGAAUCAUUAUCCUUUUCCCCUUCCCUUCAGUCUCUAGUAACCACCAUUUUCCUUUCUUUUUCCAAGGCAUUUACUAUUUUGGAUAACUCAUAAAAGUGGAAUCAUGUAGUAUUUGUGUUUUUGUGACUGUCUUACUUCACUUAGCAUAAUGUCCUCAAGGUUUAUCCAUAUUGUUGCAUGUGACAGGACAGCCUUCUUUUUAAAGGCAGAAUAAUGUUCCAUUGUACAGGCAUACCUUGUUUUUAUUGCACUUCACUUUAUUGUGCUUCUCAAGUAUUGCAUUUGUUUUUUCUUUACAAAUUGAAGGUUUGUGGCAACCCUGAAUCAAGCAAGUUAUUGGUGCCAUUUUUUCAACAGUAUUUGCUCACUAUUUGUGUCACAGUUUGGUUAUUCUCCCAAUAUUUCAAGGUUUUUAAUUAUUAUUGUGUUUGUUAUGGUCACUUGUUCUUACUGCAAAAGGUUAUGACUUGCUGAAUGCUCAGAUGGUGAUUAGCUCUUUUAAGCAAUAAAGCACUUUUUAAUUAGGGUAUAUGCAUUUUUAGACAUAGUGCUAUCACACACUUAAUGGACUACAAAAAUAUAGUGUAAAUGUAACUUUUAUAUGCAUUAGAAAACCAAAAAUUAAUUUGACUCACUUUAUUACAGUGGUCUGAAACUAAACCCAGACUAUUUCCCAGUUCUUUAUUUAUAUAUUGACAGACAUUUAUUGCUUUCACUUCUUGGCUAUUAUGAAUAAUGCUGCCUUGAAGAUGGGUGUAAAAUAUCUUUUCAAGAUCCUGUUUUCAGUUCUUUUGGAUAUAUACUUAGAGGUGGGAUUGCUGGAUUAUUUGGUAAUUCUGUUUUUAAUUUUUAAGGAAUCUCCAUACUAUUUUUUUCAUACUAUUUUCGUAAGAAUUGCACUAUUUUACAUUUCCCCAACAGUGCACAAGGGUUCCAAUUUCUCUACAUCUUCAUCAACACUUGUUUAUUUUCUGUUUUUUGUUUUUGUUUUGAUUUUUUUUUUUUUUUUUUUGGUUUCAUAGUGGCCACCCUAACCAUUCCUAGGUUUUUAACUCCCUGCUAACAUGUUAGGUCUUUAUUUCUAAAUCGCUUUCUAAAGAAACAGAAUAGUUAUUUAGGAGAUUUCCUAUAAUUAUUACAAAUCUUUACACUGUUCCCUGACUUCAAAUACUAGAAUACCAACGGGAGCUAGUGUCCUAAACAUUUCAGAUUGAGCGUAUAAAACUGGACAUUUGAAUUCCUUCAUACUUUAACAUAAAUGGUCCUCUUUGCUUUUGGAAUUCAUAUGAUAUAUUACACAUCAUCACCUUAUAAGGCAGCAAUAAGAUGCCUUUGUCUCUACUUCCAGGUUCUAAAGCUUGCUUUAAUGGGAUAAUUACAAUGGUCCUGUAAUAUAUAAUGUAUAUAUAUCAUUAUAAUGUAUAUAUAACAUUAUAACAUAUAUAACAUUAUAACAUUACUGGAUGUCUUGUCUUCUCUUGUUUCCAAGCAGUCCAUAAUUGUCUCAUCUUUGGAUGCAUUACUUCAGUGUAUACUUAAUAUGCUGCUUUGAAUCUCUCUCAACAUAGUUUUCUUCAUUUCACUUUCCCUGCUGCAUCUGCUUGUGAAUCUUUCUGUCAUCCAUUUUCAACAGAUUUCUUGCCUAAGUGGGGUUGUGUUGCCAACAAAUUUGCUUCAGUGCUGGUAGAGCAGCUCUCUUCCAGUGCCCUAUAUUUGAUAAUCUAGCCAUUUAAUAGUACAGCUUAUGGAUAUUGAAGACAGCAGAUAUAAUACUUAUAAUCCAUCUAGUCCUCACAGUUGACCAAGUUUGGGCAUUUUCUCUUCUGCAUACAUUUAGAUUGAUUGGGAACCCAGUGUUUUUUCUAACUUGUCUUUGACACUUCCAAAGAUCAUACUGCAAUGUUGUAAGGCUGGGGGGAAAAAAAAACUUUGAAUUUGGGGGGCAGAUUUAUAUUUAAGUCUUGACUCGGCUGCUUGACUACAUUUAGAGAUGUUUCUUAUCCUCUCUGAGUCAGAAAUCUCACAUGUAAAUUGCAGAUAGUGAUACAUAACCUUUUAUUUUAAAGCCUUCAUUGAUAUCAUAGCUUAUGUUUUUAGGAAGUUUUUUUUUAGCUGAUUCUGUCAUGUUAGAAUUUUCCUCUUACAAGUAAUGAAUGUAAAGGGGUUUUUUAGACUUCAGUACUACUGUUACAGCCCCUAUCUGACAGGAGAUUUGUUCUGAUGAGUUUGGUUCUCAUAAUUUGUCUAUUAAUUGAAAAAACCAGUUAAAAUAGAACUUAAAAGAAGUUCCCGUCCUGACUCAAUGGUAACGAACCCUGACUAGUAUCCAUAAGGACGUGGAUUCGAUACCUGGCCUUUCCUAGUAGGUUAAGGAUCCGGGGUUGCCAUGAGCUGUGGUGUAGGUCACAGAUUCGGCUUGGAUUUGGCAUUGUGCUGGCUGGCUGUGGCUAGGCCAGCAGCUACAGCUCCAAUUCGACCCCUAGUCUGGGAACUUCCAUACACACAUGUGGCCCUAAAAAGACAAAAACAGGUCAUAAAAGAUAAUGUAUUCAUCCCAUUAACUUUUUAACUCAAAACACAUAGCCUAUCUUUUGGUUAGGACCAAGGCCUUUCCCUACAGUAUGGGUUUGCUGACUGGAACAAAAAGUCUCUCUUAAAUCUACAUUCAUUCAUUUAUUUAUGUAUGUAUUUAUUUAUUUACUUAUUUGUUUGUUUGCCUUUUAGGGCUGCACCUGCAGCAUAUGGAAGUUCCCAGGGUAAGGGUCAAGUCAGAGCUACAGCUGCCCAGCUUACGCCUCAGCCACAGCAGUGCUGGGAUCCGAGCCGCAUCUGUGACCUACACCACAGUUUAUGGCAGUGCUGGAUCCUCAACUCAUUGAGCGAGGCCAAGGAUCGAACCCACAUCUUCAAGGAUACCCUACACCAUAGUCGAGUUUGUUACCACUGAGCCACAGCAGGAACUCUUUACAUUUACAACAAAUCAUUUCCAGUUUACAGUUUGCUUCUCUAAUGCAGAUUAAAACUUUAGAGAAUAGAGAGGAAGUGUUUUUCAGCAGCAUCAGCAUUUCAUGGGAAUUUCUUAGCAUGCAAGUUCUUUGAUGUUAUCCUAUCCCUACUGAAUCAGAAACUAAGGAGGUGGACUUUGCAAUUUUUUCACAUGGCCUCCAUGUUAGUUUAAGAACCACUAUUCUAUAUUUUAUGGUUACUCCCAGUUUUUGUAUUUCUUUUUCCUUUGCCUAUUUCAACAGCAGUAUUUUACAGUGACUUGCCUUUAUCAAGUCUUUCAAAGAUUUUGAUUUAGUUUCUAAAGAUCCAUGAGCUUUCAUUUUUGCUUUGUUUAUCUAAUAUUAAAUUAGCUAGGUAUGGUGACUAAUAAAACUCCCCUAAUUGGCAAAUACUACUGAUUUUGGGAGAACAUACGUUUAGCAUUUUGGAGCUGAACUGUGAAGGGCACACUAGAGAGUAAUCUAUGUGCUGGGAUUUUUUAGCAUGCCAUGGGCAUCUAUCUAUAGGGUUGAAGAGGAAAUGGAGAAUGUGGGCUCGUAUAGCAAAUUGAGUAAAUUAAAUUUGGUCAAGAGAGUUUCUCAUAUGUAUUUUUCUAUUUAAGCAUAUAGAUUUCUGUGAUUAUGUACCUUUAUAGCCCUUAAUUCAAUACUUAUGUUUAAACUUCUCUCCUUUGAUCUGUAAGUAGUCUUCUUGGUUAGAAUUUGGAGUUUGAAAUUUGUUUUAAGAACUCCUAGAUCUCUUAGCUUGAUGUGGAGAAAGCAGAGAACCCAUCUAGUGGUUCACAUGGAAGACGUGUGCCUAUUCUUGUUGACACUAAACAGGAAAUUGCAUAGUAGCUGAUACUUGAAGUAGAAAACAGAUGGAAAUGUUGUUUCCUAACCUAACUGUAGCUUUUGCUCCAACUUAUAGUGGCUACUUUAAUUUGGGAGAAAGCACUCAUUAUGUGGUGAUAAUUCAAUUCAACACAUCAGGAUGGUCAUUCCUGCCAAACUACAGGUGAAAUAUUUGUUCACCAUUGAGAUACAAAGGGGUUACAUAAGUCAGUCAGGAAUCUGGCUUGUUGAGCUGAAAAUAGUGCCCUUUGGCAACAUUCUGGAUGGAGUUUCUAUUGAGCUGCUUUUCUAAAAGGUAUGUUUUAAUUAUUUGUAUAUUUUUAACCACAUUGUCAGUCUCACAAAAGGAAAGAGCCUAAAUAGCUGGUCUAGAUCAACUCUGGAUCAUCUUGUUACUGAAAUAGUUGGGUCAUAGAACUGCUAUGAAACAUGAUUAGAAACCUACCUGAUACAAAGUAAAUAACUAUUAUAUAAAAAACAUCAGGGAGUUCCUGUUGUGUUGCAGUGGAUAUGAAUCCAACUAGUAUCCAUGAGGAUGUGGGUUUGAUCCCUGGCCUCGCUCAGUGGGUUGAGGAUGGGCGUUGCUAUGAGUUGUGGUGUAGGUCGCAAAUGUUGCUCAGAUCUGGUGUUGCUGUGACUAUGGCAUGGGCUCCGAUUUGACCCUAUUCUGUGAACUUCCACCUGCGGCGAGUGUGGCCCUAAAAAGCAAAAAUAAAUAAAUGAAUAAAUUGUAAAAAUCAGGAUAUUGCAACAGUUGUCCUAUAGAACAGUAGUACCGGUCUCACGGAAGUUGUGCAGGUGUAUAUUUGAUAUUUGGUUAGUAUUCAUUCUUGAGUGACACAGUGACCAGAUCAUUCCACUAAGAAAGUCAUAACUGCUAUAAGUCUUAUUAUAAAAAUAAGUAAAAUGCUUAAGGUAGACUGAAGUUUUGUUAGAGGUAGGGUCUAAAUCCAUAUCCAUAUUUGAUAUGCAUAGCAUAAAUUGUGAGUUUGUACUUAAAUUCCACUUUGUUGUCUGGGGAGGUUUAUAAAAGUAAUGAAACUUUAGUUUCAUGCCAAACUAAAGAGAACAAAAAUUAACAGUAAUUAUUUAAUAAGUUUUGAAUGGUAACUGUGGACUAGCGAUAUAUAAGUGUUACGUCAUUUUUUUCAUUAUAAAUAUUCCUCUAGAACGUUAUUAUCUAGGUUUUAUAGAUGUGAAAAUGGAUUAAGGAAACUGGUGACUUGUCCAAGGUCAUUUAACUAGUGGGUAGUGGAGCUAGGAUUUGAACUGUGGUCUGUUUAACACCAAAGUCCAAGCUUUCGAAUACUGCUUUGCACCUUAAUAUUCGGUGCUGUAAUAUUCCUGGCCUGCUUUCAAAAACUUCUCUCUUCCUGUCAAUUUCAGAGAUAACAUUCAAUAACUUGACAACAGUGACCUUUCUAAACAAAUAUAGAAUGUUACAGAACCAGAUGGCCCAAGAUUAUAUUUUAUUUUUCUGGCUCAAAAUAAAUUGCCUGCUGUAGGACUGAUAAAGUCCAAAAAAGACCCUCUGUGUCCCAGGACUUCAUCAGGCCACAUGGCCAGCCAGUGCCCUUUAUCAUGAGCCAGUCAUGAGUAGAGAGCCUUAUGUCUUUAUACUAUAAUUUAAAUUACAGCCUAAUGAAAGGGCAAGAAGCUGCUUUACUGAGUGAGAUCAUUCUGGCCUUCAAUAAUGGCAGUGCAUUUGGGGUAGAACAAUUCUGAGGAACUAAAGGCAGUACUACUGUCUGUCUGUUAAAUGGGUGUAAGCAAGAAGAAUGUUGAGUUAUAAUUUAACAAACUCCCAAAUUAGCCAUCUUUUUUUGUGGGGAUUCAAGUAGGAUUUUUCUAGUAUUAGAAACCUUUUGCUUUAUUGUUCAAAAUCUGGGUGGAAAUCUUUUUGACGGCCAUAGACACAUAUCUUUAGAAAAUAAAUUCUGUAUUGGAAACAUACAUUAUUAUCUCCCACACAAGCAUAAACAUAAUGCCUUCAUGAGCACAAUUAGAUUUAGCAGAUUUUGGUUUAGAGAGAUAAGGUUGCAAAGGAUAAGCAUAGAAAUGUUUCAAAGACAUAUUGAAGGCAACUUGUAAUUGAUGGUAAAAAUUAAUAGUGACAAAAAGAAACACUGGACUUAGAGUCAGGAGUCCUAUGUUUGAAACUUUUUCAAUACUCUGAAGGAUCCUUAAGCAAGUGGUUUAAAUUCUCUGAGUCUCAGUUUUCUCAUUUGUAAAGUGAGGCCAAAAUAAUAAAUAUUACCUGCCUUGUUUAAUUACAGGGUUGUUCUGAGGACCAAAUGAGGGGGCAUUGACAAAAUUAUGGUGAUGUACAAAUGAAUGCUGUUAUUAUGGUAGCAUCUAGUACACAGGGAAAGUGUCCUGAGUCGUAAGGCAUACCUGCUUUUGGAAUUGCUGUGUUAUUUAGCAUUUUGAUGAUUUAGGCCAAGUCACCGCAAUCUUGAGCUUUAUUUCUCUCACCUAAAUAAGAUAAUAAUCUCUCCCAGAGUUGUGAGAAUUAUGUUAGCUGUAGAUGCUAUUUUUAAAUUUUUAUAAAAUAGUGAUCAUCUGGGAAUUAUAAUGUCAUCUUGAACAGAUUUUGGAAAGUUGGGAAAGAAAUAACCAGAGGCUUCUAAUCUGUUCCCAAAUAUCUUAGCAAGAUAAAUAAUCCAAAGAAUACUAGAAUGUUAGUGCUAGAAGGACCCUUGAAGGUCACCUGUCUUAUCCUCCUCAUUUUAAGACAGAGGAUUGCCUCCUAAUCAUAAUUUUGUCAUUUCUGCCAUGUAUUAUGUGCAUAUAACACUGUCACCAGCAUCAUCAAUAGUAAAGGAUGGCAAUUGUUACUCAAUCUUGAUAGAUACAGAUUUUUAAAAGUGCAGAGUCAGAGAAGAAUUCUGCUUGGAGAUAGUAUCGUGUUGUGAAAAGAACCUGGGUUUUGUUGUUGGAAGUUAAGAUGGUAUCUUGAUCCUUUCAGUUACUAGUUUGGAGACAGUGGGACAUUCACUUAGUGUUUGGUGUAGUGUAGCUCCUUAACUAUCCUAUUUCUUUAGCUGUCACGUAGGUAUAGACAUAUUAUACCUUAGCCAUUUCCACAUGUGAUUUUCUGGAUUUGAAAUGAAUUUACUUUUUAUGCUAUUUAUAUUAAUGAUUCUUUUUUGUUGUUUUGUUUUUAACUCAGUGAAUUUUAUUACUUUUACAGUAUAUUAAUGGUUCUUGACCUUUUCUCCCUUGUCUCAUGCAAAUACAAUAGAUUCUUUCUAUUGUGUUGGAAAGGUGGAGUUGGAACAAAGCAGAAUCUUGGAACUGUGGGUUAGGUGUAGUUAGAAAAGACUUCUCUUUAAGGCUGGUUUAGGGACUUAAACAUAGAGCUAUUCUGUUAAGCCAUUUUUUUGUCAGCUUUUUUCCUUACAUGAUUGCAUUUAAAUUUAUAUGUGUUGGUUUUGCUUAUAUUAGAGUUUACAUGUAUUUGGAAAAUUCAUUAGAAAGUUAAUGGGCAGUGUUUUAAUAUGAAAUUUUAAAAUACUAUUAAGUGUUUUCCUUUGAGAAGAGCUCUUCAAAAGAAAGUGCAAGAAAAUAAUGUUUUAUCACUGAAGAACAAGUACAGAGAAUGUUUAUGUUUAUAAUCAAGAAUAGUGACCUUAGUAUACUUUUUAGAGCACACCAUUAAGAGAUUCCAUAGUUUAUAUUUUCAUGAUAGUAAGUUUGGUAUUUUUUUAUUAAGAAUAUUUUCAUUCUUACUUGAUAUCCUGGAGAUACAAAGUUUAUACUUAGGGAGUUACCAUUGUGGCACAGCGAAAUAAAUCCAACUAGUACCCAUGAGGGUUCGAUCCCUGGCCUCAUCAGUGGGUCAUGUAUCUGGCAUUGCCAUGAGUUGUAGCAUAGGUCGCAGAUGUGGCUUGGAUCCUGCGUUGUUGAGUGUGGUGUGGCCAAGUUGCUGUAGCUCUGAUUUGACCCCUAGCCUGGGAACUUCCAUAUGCCACGGGUGUGGCCCUAAAAACCAAAAAAAAAAAAAAAAAAGAAAAAAAA
This 8408-nucleotide long non-coding RNA is filed under the name Sus scrofa (pig). Its description in RNAcentral is "lncRNA (ENSSSCG00030053934.1)". The record is from RNAcentral. Lineage: Eukaryota; Metazoa; Chordata; Mammalia; Artiodactyla; Suidae.